AAAACAUUCUUGUGGUCAGUUGAUGACCACAUAUUUCAGUUAUUCUAAAAUAUAUCUGCAGAAGAUAGAAUGAGAACAUGAAGAAAUGAGACCCUUGAAAACACUUGAGACAUUUUUCAAGAUCUUCUUUUUGUUCUGCAGAAGAAAGCAAGUCAUACAUGUUUGGAAUGGCAUUAAGAGACGGAUCACACCUGAAGAUGUUUCCAGAGGACACAGGGUUUUCAGUAUGAAACCGAACCCUGGGAGCGCUUCGACCUGAGCUUCAGAGAGCAUGAGACUGAUGUGCUUUUGAAGAUGAUGACAGAUACAGGGCCUUGAUUUCAUUUGAUUAACUGGAGCAAGAAACUCUGUGAUGCAUCAUAGAGAGACCAUCUUUCUCUCCUGAACUCUCUCAGGUUUUGAGGUCAUUUCGUUAAUCACACUUAGAACUUCUGAGUCACAGGUUAAAACAUGUCACUGCAAAUACAUUUCUCUGUUUUUGGGUUCAGUACUUGUAGUACUUUCAGUCCAUAAUCCAUUUUCAUUGAUAUCAAAGGAAUUCAAUGCUUCUAAUGAAUGCAAUCUGUUGUCUUCUUGGUGCCUGUUUUCCCUUGUCAGAACAAGGAAGAAACAUUUAUUGUCCUGGCUUUUGUUUUCUAUAUGACUCUCAUUUUAACCUGCACAAUUAAUAUUGAU
Long non-coding RNA from Cyprinus carpio carpio, 675 nucleotides. The record is from Ensembl. Lineage: Eukaryota; Metazoa; Chordata; Actinopteri; Cypriniformes; Cyprinidae.